UACGAGUGCCCCGAGCGUUAUCCGGAAUCAUUGGGCGUAAAGGGUGUGUAGAUUGUUUUGUUAGUCUUUUGUUAAAUUCUUCGGCUUAACCGGGGGCAUGCAAAAGAAACGGCAAGACUGGAGGGUGCGAGGGGUUUGCGGAACUCAUAGUGUAGGGGUGAAAUCCGUUGAUAUUAUGGGGAACACCAAAAGCGAAGGCAGCAAACUGGCGCAUUCCUGACAUUGAAACACGAAAGCGUGGGUAGCGAAUGGG
RNAcentral lists this ribosomal RNA (253 nucleotides) under uncultured bacterium. RNAcentral's name for it is "partial 16S ribosomal RNA". It matches the Rfam family "Bacterial small subunit ribosomal RNA", at positions 524 to 776 of the family's 1533-position model. The record is from RNAcentral.